GACGAACGCUGGCGGCGUGCUUAACACAUGCAAGUCGAACGGAAAGGCCCUGCUUUUGUGGGGUGCUCGAGUGGCGAACGGGUGAGUAACACGUGAGUAACCUGCCCUUGACUUUGGGAUAACUUCAGGAAACUGGGGCUAAUACCGGAUAGGAGCUCCUGCUGCAUGGUGGGGGUUGGAAAGUUUCGGCGGUUGGGGAUGGACUCGCGGCUUAUCAGCUUGUUGGUGGGGUAGUGGCUUACCAAGGCUUUGACGGGUAGCCGGCCUGAGAGGGUGACCGGCCACAGUGGGCUAGGGGAGCGGCCCGGACCCCAACGGGAGGCAGGGGUGGGAAAUUGUGGAAAAGGGGCGGAGCGCGGGUGGAACACCGCCGGGUCGGGGAUGACGGCCUUCGGGGUAGAAACCGCUUUCCCGUGUGAAGAAGGGGGGGGAAGGGAAAUGGGUAAAAAAGCACCGGCUAACUACUG
This 467-nucleotide ribosomal RNA is filed under the name uncultured bacterium. RNAcentral describes it as "partial 16S ribosomal RNA". It matches the Rfam family "Bacterial small subunit ribosomal RNA", at positions 28 to 506 of the family's 1533-position model. The record is from RNAcentral.